GAACUAAGCAUAUCAAUAAGCGGAGGAAAAGAAACUAACAAGGAUUCCCCUAGUAACUGCGAGUGAAGCGGGAAAAGCUCAAAUUUAAAAUCUGGCAGUCUCUGGCUGUCCGAGUUGUAAUCUAGAGAAGUAAUGCCCGUGCUGGACCGUGUAUAAGUCUCCUGGGAUGGGGCGUCAUAGAGGGUGAGAAUCCCGUCUUUGACACGGACUACCAGCGCAUUGUGGUAUGCUCUCAAAGAGUCGAGUUGUUUGGGAAUGCAGCUCAAAAUGGGUGGUAAAUUCCAUCUAAAGCUAAAUAUUGGCGAGAGACCGAUAGCGAACAAGUACCGUGAGGGAAAGAUGAAAAGAACUUUGGAAAGAGAGUUAAACAGUACGUGAAAUUGCUGAAAGGGAAACGCUUGAAGUCAGUCGCGUUGGCCGGGAAUCAGCCUUGCUUUUGCAUGGUGUACUUUCUGGUUGACGGGUCAGCAUCAAUUUUGACCGCUGGAAAAAGACCUGGGGAAUGUGGCAGCUUCGGCUGUGUUAUAGCCCCUAGUCGCAUACAGUGGUUGGGAUUGAGGAACUCAGCACGCCGCAAGGCCGGGUUUCGACCACGUUCGUGCUUAGGAUGCUGGCAUAAUGGCUUUAAGCGACCCGUCUUGAAACACGGACCAAGGAGUCUAACAUGCCUGCGAGUAUUUGGGUGGAAAACUCAAGUGCGUAAUGAAAGUGAAAGUUGAGAUCCCUGUCRUGGGGAGCAUCGACGCCCGGACCAGAACUUUUGGGACGGAUCCGCGGUGGAGCAUGUAUGUUGGGACCCGAAAGAUGGUGAACUAUGCCUGAAUAGGGUGAAGCCAGAGGAAACUCUGGUGGAGGCUCGUAGCGAUUCUGACGUGCAAAUCGAUCGUCAAAUUUGGGUAUAGGGGCGAAAGACUAAUCGAACCAUCUAGUAGCUGGUUCCUGCCGAU
This 947-nucleotide ribosomal RNA is filed under the name Agaricus sp. RNAcentral's name for it is "LSU rRNA". It matches the Rfam family "Eukaryotic large subunit ribosomal RNA", at positions 30 to 965 of the family's 3401-position model. Lineage: Eukaryota; Fungi; Basidiomycota; Agaricomycetes; Agaricales; Agaricaceae. The record is from RNAcentral.